RNAcentral lists this transfer RNA (76 nucleotides) under Acidobacteriota bacterium. RNAcentral describes it as "tRNA-Ala". It matches the Rfam family "tRNA". From Rfam's summary of the family: Transfer RNA (tRNA) molecules are approximately 80 nucleotides in length. Their secondary structure includes four short double-helical elements and three loops (D, anti-codon, and T loops). Lineage: Bacteria; Pseudomonadati; Acidobacteriota. The record is from RNAcentral.
GGGGGUAUAGCUCAGUUGGAAGAGCACCUGCUUUGCAAGCAGGGGGUCGUCGGUUCGAAUCCGAUUACCUCCACCA